GUCAAUGUGGGAGCUGGCUUGCCUGCGAUAGCUGCAGUGAAUUCACCACUGCUAUAGCAGGCAAGCCAGCUCCCACAUUUGA
Molecule: unclassified non-coding RNA, 82 nt
Filed under: Pseudomonas yamanorum
Lineage: Bacteria; Pseudomonadati; Pseudomonadota; Gammaproteobacteria; Pseudomonadales; Pseudomonadaceae
Source: RNAcentral